GGGGUUCUGAGAGGAAGGCCCCCCACACUGGUACUGAGACACGGACCAGACUCCUACGGGAGGCAGCAGUGAGGAAUAUUGGUCAAUGGGCGCGAGCCUGAACCAGCCAAGUCGCGUGAGGGAAUAAGGUCCUAUGGAUUGUAAACCUCUUUUGUCGGGGAGCAAUGAGCGUCACGCGUGAUGCGUUGAAAAUACCCGAAGAAAAAGCAUCGGCUAACUCCGUGCCAGCAGCCGCGGUAAUACGGAGGAUGCGAGCGUUAUCCGGAUUUAUUGGGUUUAAAGGGUGCGUAGGCGGGGAGCCAAGUCAGCGGUAAAAUCGUGGGGCUCAACCCCAUCCCGCCGUUGAAACUGGUUUUCUUGAGUGGAUGAGAAGUAUGCGGAAUGCGUGGUGUAGCGGUGAAAUGCAUA
RNAcentral lists this ribosomal RNA (408 nucleotides) under uncultured bacterium. RNAcentral's name for it is "bacterial SSU rRNA". It matches the Rfam family "Bacterial small subunit ribosomal RNA", at positions 286 to 692 of the family's 1533-position model. The record is from RNAcentral.